UACGUAGGGUGCGAGCGUUGUCCGGAAUUAUUGGGCGUAAAGAGCUCGUAGGCGGUCUGUCGCGUCGAUCGUGAAAACUUGGGGCUUAACCCUGAGCUUGCGGUCGAUACGGGCAUGACUGGAGUUCGGCAGGGGAGACUGGAAUUCCUGGUGUAGCGGUGAAAUGCGCAGAUAUCAGGAGGAACACCGGUGGCGAAGGCGGGUCUCUGGGCCGAGACUGACGCUGAGGAGCGAAAGCGUGGGGAGCGAACAGG
Molecule: ribosomal RNA, 254 nt
Filed under: uncultured bacterium
Lineage: Bacteria
Description: partial 16S ribosomal RNA
Rfam family: Bacterial small subunit ribosomal RNA
Source: RNAcentral